Molecule: ribosomal RNA, 1218 nt
Filed under: metagenome
Description: bacterial SSU rRNA
Rfam family: Bacterial small subunit ribosomal RNA
Source: RNAcentral
CUUCAGCUUGCUGGAGCUAGUAAAGUGGCGCACGGGUGAGUAACGCGUGGGUAAUCUACCUCCGAAUUGGGGAUAACACUGCGAAAGCGGUGCUAAUACCGAAUGACAUCCCAGGGACCUUGGUUUCGGGGAUCAAAGGUGGCCUCUACAUGUAAGCUACUGUUUGGAGAUGAGCCCGCGUACCAUUAGCUAGUUGGUAGGGUAAUGGCCUACCAAGGCUGCGAUGGUUAGCUGGUCUGAGAGGAUGAUCAGCCACACUGGAACUGACACACGGUCCAGACUCCUACGGGAGGCAGCAGUGAGGAAUUUUGCGCAAUGGGGGAAACCCUGACGCAGCAACGCCGCGUGAGUGAUGAAGGCUUUCGGGUCGUAAAGCUCUGUCAAGUGGGAAGAAUAUGCCCUGUGAUAAUACCAUGGGGCACUGACGGUACCACUGAAGGAAGCACCGGCUAACUCCGUGCCAGCAGCCGCGGUAAUACGGGGGGUGCAAGCGUUAUUCGGAAUCAUUGGGCGUAAAGGGCGCGUAGGCGGCCUCUUAAGUCAGAUGUGAAAGCCCUCAGCUUAACUGAGGAAGUGCAUUUGAAACUGGCGAACUAGAGUUGAGUAGAGGGGAGUGGAAUUUCAGGUGUAGCGGUGAAAUGCGUAGAUAUCUGAAGGAACACCAGUGGCGAAGGCGACUCCCUGGACUCAAACUGACGCUGAGGUACGAAAGCGUGGGUAGCAAACAGGAUUAGAUACCCUGGUAGUCCACGCCGUAAACGAUGUCAACUAGCCGUUGGUCCUAUUUACAGGAUUAGUGGCGCAGCUAACGCAUUAAGUUGACCGCCUGGGGAGUACGGCCGCAAGGUUAAAACUCAAAUGAAUUGACGGGGGCCCGCACAAGCGGUGGAGCAUGUGGUUUAAUUCGAUGCAACGCGAAGAACCUUACCUACCCUUGACAUCCAGAGAAUCUGUUAGAGAUAGUGGAGUGCCUUCGGGAACUCUGAGACAGGUGCUGCAUGGCUGUCGUCAGCUCGUGUCGUGAGAUGUUGGGUUAAGUCCCGUAACGAGCGCAACCCUUAUCCUUAGUUGCCAGCGAGUCAAGUCGGGAACUCUAGGGAGACUGCCGGUGAUAAACCGGAGGAAGGUGGGGACGACGUUAAGUCAUCAUGGCCCUUAUGGGUAGGGCUACACACGUGCUACAAUGGCCGGUACAGAGGGCUGCGAACUUGCGAAAGG